Molecule: ribosomal RNA, 386 nt
Filed under: uncultured bacterium
Lineage: Bacteria
Description: partial 16S ribosomal RNA
Rfam family: Bacterial small subunit ribosomal RNA
Source: RNAcentral
UGGGGAAUUUUGGACAAUGGGGGAAACCCUGAUCCAGCCAUCCCGCGUGUGCGAUGAAGGCCUUCGGGUUGUAAAGCACUUUUGGCAGGAAAGAAACGUCGCGGGUUAAUACCCCGCGAAACUGACGGUACCUGCAGAAUAAGCACCGGCUAACUACGUGCCAGCAGCCGCGGUAAUACGUAGGGUGCAAGCGUUAAUCGGAAUUACUGGGCGUAAAGCGUGCGCAGGCGGUUCGGAAGGAAAGAUGUGAAAUCCCAGAGCUUAACUUUGGAACUGCAUUUUUAACUACCGGGCUAGAGUGUGUCAGAGGGAGGUGGAAUUCCGCGUGUAGCAGUGAAAUGCGNAGAUAUGCGGAGGAACACCGAUGGCGAAGGCAGCCUCCUGGG